GCUGGUUCUCCGCGAAAUCUAUUGAGGUAGAGCGUCAGAUGAUUGCCGUUGGGGGUAGAGCACUGGAUGGAUGCGGGGGUCGCGAGACCUACCAACUCUAACCAAACUCCGAAUACCUAGGAGUACUAUCCGGGAGACAGACGGCGGGUGCUAAGGUCCGUCGUCAAAAGGGAAACAGCCCUAACCUACAGCUAAGGUCCCCAAGUCAUCACUAAGUGGGAAAGCAUGUGGGAAUCCCAAAACAACCAG
This 249-nucleotide ribosomal RNA is filed under the name Pycnococcus provasolii. RNAcentral's name for it is "partial Bacterial large subunit ribosomal RNA". It matches the Rfam family "Bacterial large subunit ribosomal RNA", at positions 848 to 1096 of the family's 2925-position model. The record is from RNAcentral. Lineage: Eukaryota; Viridiplantae; Chlorophyta; Pseudoscourfieldiophyceae; Pseudoscourfieldiales; Pycnococcaceae.